AUCGCUUCUCAGCCUUUUGGCUAAGAUCAAGUGUAGAGUUUUUAUAAAGCUAAAAACUAAGAAACUGUACCCUAGAGUUAGUGAUAUUAGUCAUGUGUAUCCAUU
RNAcentral lists this small nuclear RNA (105 nucleotides) under Catagonus wagneri (Chacoan peccary). Its description in RNAcentral is "U2 spliceosomal RNA (ENSCWAG00000021531.1)". It matches the Rfam family "U2 spliceosomal RNA". Rfam says of the family: U2 is a small nuclear RNA (snRNA) component of the spliceosome (involved in pre-mRNA splicing). Complementary binding between U2 snRNA (in an area lying towards the 5' end but 3' to hairpin I) and the branchpoint sequence (BPS) of the intron results the bulging out of an unpaired adenosine, on the BPS, which initiates a nucleophilic attack at the intronic 5' splice site, thus starting the first of two transesterification reactions that mediate splicing. Lineage: Eukaryota; Metazoa; Chordata; Mammalia; Artiodactyla; Tayassuidae. The record is from RNAcentral.